GCCGCCCUCUUUCUUCUUGCCUAAUACAUGCAAGUCGAGCGAACGGACGAGAAGCUUGCUUCUCUGAUGUUAGCGGCGGACGGGUGAGUAACACGUGGAUAACCUACCUAUAAGACUGGGAUAACUUCGGGAAACCGGAGCUAAUACCGGAUGAUAUUUUGAACCGCAUGGUUCAAAAGUGAAAGACGGUCUUGCUGUCACUUAUAGAUGGAUCCGCGCUGCAUUAGCUAGUUGGUAAGGUAACGGCUUACCAAGGCAACGAUGCAUAGCCGACCUGAGAGGGUGAUCGGCCACACUGGAACUGAGACACGGUCCAGACUCCUACGGGAGGCAGCAGUAGGGAAUCUUCCGCAAUGGGCGAAAGCCUGACGGAGCAACGCCGCGUGAGUGAUGAAGGUCUUCGGAUCGUAAAACUCUGUUAUUAGGGAAGAACAUAUGUGUAAGUAACUGUGCACAUCUUGACGGUACCUAAUCAGAAAGCCACGGCUAACUACGUG
Molecule: ribosomal RNA, 497 nt
Filed under: uncultured bacterium
Lineage: Bacteria
Description: partial 16S ribosomal RNA
Rfam family: Bacterial small subunit ribosomal RNA
Source: RNAcentral